RNAcentral lists this unclassified non-coding RNA (319 nucleotides) under plant metagenome. RNAcentral describes it as "partial contains 5.8S ribosomal RNA, internal transcribed spacer 2, and large subunit ribosomal RNA". The stretch from base 1 to 104 matches the Rfam family "5.8S ribosomal RNA", at positions 50 to 154 of the family's 154-position model. The record is from RNAcentral.
GAAAUGCGAUAAGUAAUGCGAAUUGCAGAAUCCGUGAGUCAUCGAAUCUUUGAACGCACAUUGCGCCCUCUGGUAACCCGGAGGGCAUGCCUGUUCGAGCGUCAUUACAACCCUCAGGCCCCCGGGCCUGGCGUUGGGGAUCGGCGGAAGCCCCCUGCGGGCACAACGCCGUCCCCCAAAUACAGUGGCGGUCCCGCCGCAGCUUCCAUUGCGUAGUAGCUAACACCUCGCAACUGGAGAGCGGCGCGGCCACGCCGUAAAACACCCAACUUCUGAAUGUUGACCUCGAAUCAGGUAGGAAUACCCGCUGAACUUAAGC